AUGAAGUUCAACAGGGACAAAUGCAAGAUACUUCACUUCGGCAGAAAAAAUGGAAAUCAAAGAUACAGAAUGGGGGACGCCUGGCUUGACAGCAGUGUGUGCGAAAAAGACCUUGGAGUCCUCGUGGACAACAAGUUAAACAUGAGCCAACAAUGUGAUGCGGCUGCUAAGAAAGCCAAUGGGAUUCUGGCCUGCAUCAAUAGGGGAAUAGCGUCUAGAUCCAGGGAAGUUAUGCUCCCCCUCUAUUCUGCCUUGGUCAGACCACACCUGGAAUACUGUGUCCAAUUUUGGGCACCACAGUUGAAGGGAGAUGUUGACAAGCUGGAAAGCGUCCAGAGGAGGGCAACUAAAAUGAUUAAGGGUCUGGAGAACAAGCCCUAUGAGGAGAGGCUUAAAGAGCUGGGCAUGUUUAGCCUGCAGAAGAGAAGGCUGAGAGGAGACAUGAUAGCCAUGUACAAAUACGUGAAGGGAAGUCAUAGGGAGGAGGGAGCAAGCUUGUUUUCUGCUGCCCUGCAGACUAGGACACGGAUUUCAGACUACAAGAAAAGAGAUUCCACCUAAACAUGAAGAAGAACAGGGUUGUUGUGUGCUUUCCAGGCUGUAUGGCCAUGUUCCAGAACUAUUCUCUCCUGACUUUUCGCCCACAUCUAACCUCACAACCUCUGAGGAUGCCUGCCAUAGAUGUGGGAGAAACGUCAGGAGAGAAUACUUCUGGAACAUGGCCAUACAGCCCGGAAAACACACAACAACCCUGUGAUUCCGGCCAUGAAAGCCUUUGACAACACAUGAAGAACAAUUCCUAAUUGAAUCGGCUGUACUGCCCCAGAACAUAAGUGUUGCAUUUAGUUACUGUGCUUAAAAGCCAUUGAUACAGAGUGUCUCCUGCAUGCAAAAUACGGACCCUCGCAACUGCAAAACAGGAACUAUUUUUAAACCUAGACAUCCAGAAACAUUUUUUAAAAAAUUUAAAGAAGAAACAAAUAUCAUUAUCACUUCUGUAAUUGAUUUCGUCUCCAUCUGGCCAAGCCCUGUAGGUUUCAUGUAUGUAAAAAUAUUCUUAAUGAGCUCUGAACGAAAGCAAUUACAUUAGUAACUACAACCACUCCUCGUAAUGCCGACACAGUCACAGUAGGGAAGCCUCGUUAAAUACCAUUUAAAAUGGGAUUAUUGAGAGAUGUUUAAAAGAUGUUCUCAUUUUUAAAAAACUUGUGUAUAUGGUUUUUUAACAGCCUUUGUUUUUAAAACAAUCAAU
RNAcentral lists this long non-coding RNA (1252 nucleotides) under Anolis carolinensis (green anole). RNAcentral's name for it is "lncRNA (ENSACAG00000037541.1)". The record is from RNAcentral. Lineage: Eukaryota; Metazoa; Chordata; Lepidosauria; Squamata; Anolidae.